RNAcentral lists this ribosomal RNA (908 nucleotides) under uncultured bacterium. Its description in RNAcentral is "bacterial SSU rRNA". It matches the Rfam family "Bacterial small subunit ribosomal RNA", at positions 10 to 916 of the family's 1533-position model. The record is from RNAcentral.
AGUUUGAUCCUGGCUCAGGAUGAACGCUGGCGGCGUGCCUAAUACAUGCAAGUCGAACGAAUCUCUUUUAGAGAUGAGUGGCGAACGGGUGAGUAAUACAUAGGUAACCUGCCCCUGUGCGGGGGAUAACAGGAGGAAACUCCUGCUAAUACCGCAUAGCCAUGAGCACCGCAUGGAGCUCAUGCCAAAUAUCCUUUAUGGGAUAGCGCAGGGAUGGACCUAUGGCGCAUUAGCUGGUUGGCGGGGCAACGGCCCACCAAGGCAACGAUGCGUAGCCGGCCUGAGAGGGCGGACGGCCACAUUGGGACUGAGACACGGCCCAGACUCCUACGGGAGGCAGCAGUAGGGAAUUUUCGGCAAUGGGGGAAACCCUGACCGAGCAACGCCGCGUGAGCGAAGAAGGCCUUCGGGUCGUAAAGCUCUGUUGUAAAGGAAGAACGGCGCAUACAGGAAAUGGUAUGCGAGUGACGGUACUUUACCAGAAAGCCACGGCUAACUACGUGCCAGCAGCCGCGGUAAUACGUAGGUGGCGAGCGUUAUCCGGAAUCAUUGGGCGUAAAGAGGGAGCAGGCGGCCGCAAGGGUCUGUGGUGAAAGACCGAAGCUAAACUUCGGUAAGCCAUGGAAACCGGGCGGCUAGAGUGCGGAAGAGGAUCGUGGAAUUCCAUGUGUAGCGGUGAAAUGCGUAGAUAUAUGGAGGAACACCAGUGGCGAAGGCGACGGUCUGGGCCGCAACUGACGCUCAUUCCCGAAAGCGUGGGGAGCAAAUAGGAUUAGAUACCCUAGUAGUCCACGCCGUAAACGAUGGUCACUAAGUGUCGGGGGUCAAACCCCGGUGCUGCAGUCAACGCAAUAAGUGACCCGCCUGAGUAGUACGUUCGCAAGAAUGAAACUCAAAGGAAUUGACGG